RNAcentral lists this ribosomal RNA (589 nucleotides) under Sporobolomyces pararoseus. RNAcentral's name for it is "eukaryotic LSU rRNA". The stretch from base 166 to 319 matches the Rfam family "5.8S ribosomal RNA". Lineage: Eukaryota; Fungi; Basidiomycota; Microbotryomycetes; Sporidiobolales; Sporidiobolaceae. The record is from RNAcentral.
CCUGCGGAAGGAUCAUUAUUGAAAACAAGGGUGUCCAAUUUAACUUGGAACCCAAACUUCUCAAUUCUAACUUUGUGCAUCUGUAUUAAUGGCGAGCAACUUCGGUUGUGAGCCUUCACUUACAAAACACUAGUCUAUGAAUGUAAAAUUUUUAUAACAAAUAAAAACUUUCAACAACGGAUCUCUUGGCUCUCGCAUCGAUGAAGAACGCAGCGAAAUGCGAUACGUAAUGUGAAUUGCAGAAUUCAGUGAAUCAUCGAAUCUUUGAACGCAUCUUGCGCUCUCUGGUAUUCCGGAGAGCAUGUCUGUUUGAGUGUCAUGAAUUCUUCAACCCAAUCUUUUCUUGUAAUCGAUUGGUGUUUGGAUUCUGAGCGUUGCUGGCUUUAUUGCUCAGCUCGUUCGUAAUACAUUAGCAUCCCUAAUACAAGUUUGGAUUGACUUGGCGUAAUAGACUAUUCGCUAAGGAUUCGGUGGAAACAUCGAGCCAACUUCAUUAAGGAAGCUCCUAAUUUAAAAGUCUACCUUUUGAUUAGAUCUCAAAUCAGGCAGGAUUACCCGCUGAACUUAAGCAUAUCAAUAAGCGGAGGAA